RNAcentral lists this ribosomal RNA (472 nucleotides) under uncultured bacterium. RNAcentral describes it as "bacterial SSU rRNA". It matches the Rfam family "Bacterial small subunit ribosomal RNA", at positions 29 to 524 of the family's 1533-position model. The record is from RNAcentral.
AACGAACGCUGGCGGCAUGCCUAACACAUGCAAGUCGAACGAGACCUUCGGGUCUAGUGGCGCACGGGUGCGUAACGCGUGGGAAUCUGCCCCUUGGUUCGGAAUAACUUCGGGAAACUGAAGCUAAUACCGGAUAAUGACGUAAGUCCAAAGAUUUAUCGCCAAGGGAUGAGCCCGCGUAGGAUUAGCUAGUUGGUGGGUAAAGGCUCACCAAGGCGACGAUCCUUAGCUGGUUUGAGAGGAUGAUCAGCCACACUGGGACUGAGACGCGGUCCAGACUCCUACGGGAGGCAGCAGUGGGGAAUUUUGGACAAUGGGGGCAACCCUGAUCCAGCAAUGCCGCGUGAGUGAAGAAGGCCUCGGUUGUAAGCUCUUUGUCAGGGAAGAAACGGUAGAGGAGCUAAUAUCUCUUGCUAAUGACGGUACCUGAAGAAUAAGCACCGGCUAACUACGUGCCAGCAGCCGCGGUAAU